This 1528-nucleotide long non-coding RNA is filed under the name Carassius auratus (goldfish). RNAcentral describes it as "lncRNA (ENSCARG00000000103.1)". Lineage: Eukaryota; Metazoa; Chordata; Actinopteri; Cypriniformes; Cyprinidae. The record is from RNAcentral.
AUUAAUCACUGCCAUUUGAAUUUUAAUAUUUAUUUUGUUUUAUCAGGGUAAUUUCUAGAAGUGUGUGUCUACUCUUCAUGGAGGACACAGGCUUCUGCAUGGAGUUUUAAAAUGUGUUGUGAUCACCUCAUUGUGACCUGAGCUGCUGGGCUGCAUCGGUAAAUGCCUUAAUAUGCCAUUGAGUGUUUUAUAUCUGCAUUGGAACAUGUUUUAAAAUACUUUUUCUGUCUGUAGCAACGGAAUGUUCACCUUUGUCUUCAUAUGUCAAUGAGCUGUGGGACAGUUGAGCAUACUGAAAAGUAGGCCUAUAUUUUUUAGCCAUGUUUGAGUUGACUAUGAUAUGCUGUUUAAUGAGGCUGGCAACUAACAUGAUUGUUUAUUUCCCAAAAGGGACCAGGCCAGCCACUGUUUUCUUGUGAUUAAUGUGCAUUUUUUUAUUGUUUUGUUGGUUUGUUUGUGUGAUGUGAUUUUGCUUCUGGGCCUACCACCCAUGUGCCCUACUGGUAGUAGCAUUGUUCCUUAAACUGGUGUUAUCCGUGCUGGUGGGUCUCCUCCCUAACUAUGUCUUUUGCUUAGGCUAUCCCUGUACAAGGCCGGAUCCACACUGAUGCUUUGCCCCUUCUUACCAAGGGACCACAUUGUUAGAGACAUUGGUUUGGGGUGUCUUUAUAACCAUAACACGAUUUUUUUGUCGUGGUAUCUGAAGAUCUUGAAUGAGUGGUGCUUGCUGUGUUGCAUGCUUCUUCUGGUGCUGGGUUGCUGUCUCCUGUUUCUUUUUGUCUCACCAGGGUCCACCUGAGCAGGGGUUUCGCAUUGGCUGAUCCGACCUUCCUAGACUGAGGAGAAUCCACCAAUUGUAUAGCAGUAUUUAAGAGCCAUUUUAAUAACUUUUCCACACUUUUUGUAUUAAAUUGUAAUAAAUUUGAAAUACAUUUAUAUACCUGCCUCUUGUCAACUGUCCCUUUGCGGGGAAAAUAUAGAGUUAGCUACACUACAUUAAGGGAAGACUUGUGGGUCCUCCUGCCCAUCAUCAGGGGGUGGCGUAGUCAAACCAUAAAGAUUUACUCCUUGACGGGUACCACACCCUUAUGGCCAAAGGCCUAAGCUACAUACCCAACUUACCUGCAGGGCCUUGUCCCGGGGUAGAGCUGGAGGCUUGGAAUCACAAAAGAUUCCUUUAAAGGGAUACGGCUAAGAACCUAGCAUGUUCUUUACGAAGUCUUGCCUGUCACACAGGGGCUACCGCUAGCUUUUGCAAAAACUUGCCGAAAGAGCUGUCCCAACAGUUCUCUAGUAGCAACACCCUGUUCUAGAUAGGUAUCAGAGGAUACCUGGGUGGAGUGGCACUCAAGAAAGGGCAAAAGCAGCUGUGCCUCACCAUAUAGGAUUUUAGAAAGAACGCAGAGUACUAGCGUGGGAACUUACCACAGUGUGGAUUUCAGAAAGUGCGCAAAGACUUCACGUGCACACUUACCAUAGCAUGGAUUUACAAAUACUGUUCUAAGGAGGGGCUCUCGUGGCACUCUGA